Molecule: transfer RNA, 77 nt
Filed under: Aeromonas sp.
Lineage: Bacteria; Pseudomonadati; Pseudomonadota; Gammaproteobacteria; Aeromonadales; Aeromonadaceae
Also listed under: 6 other names
Description: tRNA-Pro
Rfam family: tRNA
About the family: Transfer RNA (tRNA) molecules are approximately 80 nucleotides in length. Their secondary structure includes four short double-helical elements and three loops (D, anti-codon, and T loops).
Source: RNAcentral
CGGUGAGUAGCGCAGUCCGGUAGCGCAACUGGUUUGGGACCAGUGGGUCGGAGGUUCGAAUCCUCUCUCACCGACCA